RNAcentral lists this long non-coding RNA (726 nucleotides) under Apteryx rowi (Okarito brown kiwi). RNAcentral describes it as "lncRNA (ENSARWG00000005728.1)". Lineage: Eukaryota; Metazoa; Chordata; Aves; Apterygiformes; Apterygidae. The record is from RNAcentral.
CUUUCCCUCAUGCUUGCCAUGGAAUAUGCAAGUAAGAUAAUCUUUCCAUUACUUACAGAAAGCAAUUAAAAAAAAAAACACUUUUAGCUAAACUUUCCUUUUUUUUUUUUCUUCUUAAGGGGCAAGAGAAGGGAAAUGAGGGGGAGAAGAAUAUUUUUUCUUUUUGCAGUCUCCAACAUUUGGCUUUUUCCAUUUGUGGCAGAUCACUGUAAUGCUAUUGUAAAACAACUUCCUGCCCCUUUUGGCUCAGGUUCCAGAAGCUGCUAGGCUAAGUUCAUAGCACAAACUUUUUUCCCCCUUGCCGAAGAAGAGAGACAAAAAAAAAUUUCCUGCAAAUUAUUUUCCCCCUUUUCUGGCUAAUGGAUUCAUAAGGUGAAUUUAUUGCAGCUCCUUAAGAAUGUUACACAAGAGACGUCGGUAUCCCAGCUGGAUAAUUCAUAAGCUUAAAAGAUUUCCCUGCUGAACAAAGAACAGCACUCGGAGAUGAAAAAUAAUAAACAUCUUUCAGAGAAAGGAAGAGAGGGAAACUUACUGCUGUCAAGAAAACCAAAUGGAAAAACCCUUCCUAGCAUACGUGUCCCAUUGAGAAGCAUGGAGUUUAGCCCAGACAGCUCACAACAACCUCCACAGAGGCCAAGUGUAAAAGAAGAAACUUCCAAAGUAUCUGUUUGUACCAUGAUGGGCAGCAUUUUCACCACAGGUGGGUGACAGACUGGCACUCAGUAC